UCCCUUGUGGCUCAGCUGGUAAAGAAUCUGCCUGCAAUGUGGAAGAUCUGGGUUCAAUCCCCAGGUUGGGAA
Non-coding RNA from Bos taurus (domestic cattle), 72 nucleotides. The record is from Rfam. NCBI's taxonomy places the organism in Eukaryota, Metazoa, Chordata, Mammalia, Artiodactyla, Bovidae.